GCCAGGCAACAAAUGUUAAGUGAAUUGAAUGCCUACUAUGUGUUUUCUGCCUUAGGAGGUAAAAUCCACAGCACUUUCGAGUUUAAUUGGAUUUGUCAGCUGUCAGGCAGAGAAGCUAAUAAUUUGCUAGAGGAAUAAGAGAAAAGGUGCCAUUUCUUCGAACAAGUUCUACAAAGGCUCUUUAGACCAAAGGAGUUUGAAUUUGGCCAAGAAUGAAGGGGAAACUUUUGGAAGGCAGACAUUGAGAAGCAAGGAUGAAACUGGCCAUGUAGCUCAAACCAACCAAACCAAGGUGUGGAUGUUGGCAAACAGUACAGCAUCAUCUAGAAUAUGAAGACAACUUCUCCAUUGAAAGCAUUGGGUCUUACUGGUUUUGAUGGGAGAUAAAGCUGAACAUUUAUAUAAGGCAUACUUUGCAAAGACAUUCUGGAGAGCAAGAUAAGGCCUUUGGAUUUUAUUCUGCAUGCAGUGAAUGGUUACUGGAACAUUCUUCCUAACAAAUUCUAGAUCACACUUAAUAGGGAAAUUUAAAGAUGACAUGAGUAGUGUAGCAUGAGUCCAGCCUUGAUACAUGUAGGUACCUUCAUUUGAAAACAAACUACAUUACAUAUUAGUUAUUCGAUGAUGCCUCAUUUGCAUUAUUAGGGGGUUUCUGGUACACUGGAUCUGCUUUUUGUAAUUUACACAAUAUAUUAUUAUCUGAAACAAGAAUUUUUUGCUGUCCCAAGGCCUGUCCAUUUGUCUUCUAUGUUAAAGACUUUGUAUGGAUUUGCUACAUUAAAUUACAAGAUAGUUUGAUAGAAUCUACUUUUACUUGUUCUGAAUUAACACAUUAUACUAUUUUCUUUCUCACUGCAAAUGUGUCUUCCAUAUCAAAUGCUAGCUACAUUUCAAAGAAAUUAUUUUCAUUCAGUCAAGUACUGUAUUAUGCUUCCUUUUCCAAAAACCAUAAAGUAAGUGUUUAAUCAAAAAGAAGACAUUGGCAAUUUCAGAUCUUUCUUGUCUUCAACUUUGCAACUUACAUAUUCCUACUCAUAGCUCAUUCAAUUCUAUGCUAAUGGAACUAAAGAUUUUAAAAUAUUUGAAGAACAUUUUUAAGACUAAAAUUGAAAUGACUUGUUUAUCAAUUUCUGUUCAAUUUCUACUUAAUGGUAUCGGAAUUAGUCUCCUACAUGUUGUAGUGGGCUAUACUUUGAAGCAAAAGAACACAUUAUAUUUUUCUAAAAUCUGAUUCAGAACUCACUGCUUCUAGGAAAUGUUCAAGGAUUGAGGGUUGAUUUCAGCUCCUGUUUUUUGCUCCUACUCAGGGUCACCUCAGAACUUAGCCAUUAUGUGCUUCCCUAAAGUCACACCUGCUAUUCAGCAUCAACCAAGAGCACAAGGUCAUCAAUAAAUCUUUAAGACCAACUCCUCUCCCUAUGAGACAGAUGCAAAUAUACAGAGGACUCAAUCACUAAUAACUCCAAGAGACAAUAGCUAAGAUAAACAUAUGCUAAUUUAAUAGAUUUAAAAUUCCUUCUGCAUAAAAAUAUCCCAUCAGUUACAUGGAGAGUCCAUUACAGAAGCUAAAGAAAACAUUUUAGACAGUUCUCAUAAAGCUCCAUCAAGUUCAAGGCUAUCCCGACCUGGAUGGUGAAAAUAGGCUUUAGUAGGGAAGGAGGGAUGGGGAGGAGAAAUACUUUGGUUACUAGGGCGAAACGCCUUCGUAAUCCACUCUGAGAGAGUAAGAGAGCUUCUGGGUUGGGUGGAGAGCUCCUGGCUCUCAAUGGGCUCAGGCCAUGGCAAAUACAUUAGAUUUCUUUGAGGUCUCAGUUUCCAUGAGUCCUGAUGGUAGCAAAAUUUCUUAGUUGUUUAUAAAAUAGGGCAGGUUCUUAGAGUUGAGGGUUGAUUCUCUCAGAAGACUGACCAGGUGAAAGCAGGUGCAGGCAGAAAGACAUCAGGCUGUUGGUACUACCCUCUCACCCCCACCCCCAUUCCCUGCCUCACUCCAGCUCACCUCGAGCCACUCAGGCACAGAGGGAGCUCAGCAUGGGUGGUGUUAGACCUCUCAUUUGUGGUGUUUGGCUCUUUUUCUUAAUUUGCCAGGGAAGCAUUCACUUUAGCCAAGUGUUCACAGGUCAAUAACAACAUAGCCUUAUUGAUCAUGCUCUAUUUUUCUAUCCAUGUGUGAUGAAAUCUUCCCCAUGGGUGUUUACUAUGGUAUUAGUUGCACAAAAGGUUGAUCUUUUGUGAUCCACACAAAGAAAGAACGGGUAUUUUUCCCCUUUGUUAAUCAUUCCAUAAGAUGGUCGAUCCUUUCUGUGAUCCACAAAUACAAAGUAACAUUUGAUGCAUGACAGAAAACUAAGUACAAUGAAAGUACAGCUUUGAAAUGGAUGCAUCACAUUGGUUUCCUGGGCCAUACUAUUCACAAAAAAUUCAAAGGUCCUACAUUUUCAUUCAGGCACUUGACCUAAACUUAUACCCAUAGUUAUUGGACCACAGUUCUAUCAACCACCACUCCAGUGGCCACUGUGACACUUUCAAGCUGAGAAAUACACCAUCAGCAGUCCGAUUAUGGUGUAGGUAGAGUGUUAAUGAUAGUAAGACCAUGGCACAAUGGUCCUCCCUGGCAGGAAUCAGAAUCACUAGGGGUAGCUACACAGUCCUUGACCCACUGGGAUGGUGGCAGAGGAGCUCUUAAUUACCUUAGAACACCAUUGAGACAAUGUUUUAGAAACCAGAAAUCCAUAGAGGGUGAGGAAGAUUUUUUUAACUUGACAAAUGUAAGCAAACAAGAAACAGAAUGAGCGUGAAGGGCAGGAUUCCAUCACUUCAGGGAUUUGUAGUCUCUGCAGGAAUAAGCCCAGAUGCCUGACUCAGAUGAGAGAUGAGAAAACCAGAGAAACCCAGCAAUAAAAGAGCUGUGUAUAAAGCCACUGAUUAAGAAUACAGAAGUCUUGGAGUUCCCUUGUGGCACAGUGUGUUAAGGAUCUGGCACUGUCACUGCAGUGGCUUGGGUCACUGCUAUGGCUCAGGUUUGAUCCCUGGCCCUGAAAUGUCCAUAUGCUAUGGGCUCAU
This 3060-nucleotide long non-coding RNA is filed under the name Sus scrofa (pig). RNAcentral describes it as "lncRNA (ENSSSCG00000055283.1)". Lineage: Eukaryota; Metazoa; Chordata; Mammalia; Artiodactyla; Suidae. The record is from RNAcentral.